RNAcentral lists this non-coding RNA (28 nucleotides) under Rattus norvegicus (Norway rat). Lineage: Eukaryota; Metazoa; Chordata; Mammalia; Rodentia; Muridae. The record is from RNAcentral.
UGUCAUGCUCUGCCACAAUUUUGUCACC